This is a long non-coding RNA of Brassica oleracea var. oleracea, 403 nucleotides long. RefSeq lists it as uncharacterized. NCBI's taxonomy places the organism in Eukaryota, Viridiplantae, Streptophyta, Magnoliopsida, Brassicales, Brassicaceae. The record is from RefSeq and is a predicted model, not a curated record. The transcript is spliced from 2 exons.
UGUUGGAAAAAGAGAGGAGAAAGGAGAGGUGAAGACGAUUUCGAGGUUUCUCUGCUUCGGACGUCGUAAACGAAUGCAGAAGUGGUCCUGUCGUGGCGGAGAAGCCGGCACAGAGCUGAGAAUGAAACGGAGUUUGUGGUGAUUCGCGGAAGUGGUCAUGUCGUGAGACGACGGCCAUGGUGGCUCCGGUUUCAGUUGAUGGCGGAAGAAGAAAACCGCGACCGCUAGAGAGGACAUGGAAGAGGAGGAGCAGUGGCUUAGAAUGUUGAGAACGAGUUGAAGAGCACGGCUAAUUGAGGAUAAGGUGCUAAAGGGCAUAACAGAUGAUGAACGUAAGUUGCUAGAUGAGUUUGAGGAUGUUGAAUAUGACAGAAAGGCUGUUGAAGUGGUGCUUACGGUAAAU